GAACGCUGAAGAGAGGAGCUUGCUCUUCUUGGAUGAGUUGCGAACGGGUGAGUAACGCGUAGGUAACCUGCCUUGUAGCGGGGGAUAACUAUUGGAAACGAUAGCUAAUACCGCAUAACAAUGGAUGACACAUGUCAUUUAUUUGAAAGGGGCAAUUGCUCCACUACAAGAUGGACCUGCGUUGUAUUAGCUAGUAGGUGAGGUAAUGGCUCACCUAGGCGACGAUACAUAGCCGACCUGAGAGGGUGAUCGGCCACACUGGGACUGAGACACGGCCCAGACUCCUACGGGAGGCAGCAGUAGGGAAUCUUCGGCAAUGGGGGCAACCCUGACCGAGCAACGCCGCGUGAGUGAAGAAGGUUUUCGGAUCGUAAAGCUCUGUUGUAAGUCAAGAACGGGUGUGAGAGUGGAAAGUUCACACUGUGACGGUAGCUUACCAGAAAGGGACGGCUAACUACGUGCCAGCAGCCGCGGUAAUACGUAGGUCCCGAGCGUUGUCCGGAUUUAUUGGGCGUAAAGCGAGCGCAGGCGGUUUGAUAAGUCUGAAGUUAAAGGCUGUGGCUCAACCAUAGUUCGCUUUGGAAACUGUCAAACUUGAGUGCAGAAGGGGAGAGUGGAAUUCCAUGUGUAGCGGUGAAAUGCGUAGAUAUAUGGAGGAACACCGGUGGCGAAAGCGGCUCUCUGGUCUGUAACUGACGCUGAGGCUCGAAAGCGUGGGGAGCGAACAGGAUUAGAUACCCUGGUAGUCCACGCCGUAAACGAUGAGUGCUAGGUGUUGGAUCCUUUCCGGGAUUCAGUGCCGCAGCUAACGCAUUAAGCACUCCGCCUGGGGAGUACGACCGCAAGGUUGAAACUCAAAGGAAUUGACGGGGGCCCGCACAAGCGGUGGAGCAUGUGGUUUAAUUCGAAGCAACGCGAAGAACCUUACCAGGUCUUGACAUCCCGAUGCUAUUUCUAGAGAUAGAAAGUUACUUCGGUACAUCGGUGACAGGUGGUGCAUGGUUGUCGUCAGCUCGUGUCGUGAGAUGUUGGGUUAAGUCCCGCAACGAGCGCAACCCUUAUUGUUAGUUGCCAUCAUUCAGUUGGGCACUCUAGCGAGACUGCCGGUAAUAAACCGGAGGAAGGUGGGGAUGACGUCAAAUCAUCAUGCCCCUUAUGACCUGGGCUACACACGUGCUACAAUGGUUGGUACAACGAGUUGCGAGUCGGUGACGGCGAGCUAAUCUCUUAAAGCCAAUCUCAGUUCGGAUUGUAGGCUGCAACUCGCCUACAUGAAGUCGGAAUCGCUAGUAAUCGCGGAUCAGCACGCCGCGGUGAAUACGUUCCCGGGCCUUGUACACACCGCCCGUCACACCACGAGAGUUUGUAACACCCGAAGUCGGUGAGGUAACCUUUGGAGCCAGCC
RNAcentral lists this ribosomal RNA (1405 nucleotides) under Streptococcus thermophilus. RNAcentral describes it as "bacterial SSU rRNA". It matches the Rfam family "Bacterial small subunit ribosomal RNA". Lineage: Bacteria; Bacillati; Bacillota; Bacilli; Lactobacillales; Streptococcaceae. The record is from RNAcentral.